ACGAGAAAAGGCCCUUGAUUGCCAAGAAGAUGCAAAGAGCUGCGUUUGUGAUUGGGACGUUUGGAUUGAUGGGAAUAAUGGGCAUGCUUUUGCCUUCAACGAUCUCCUGGUGCUUCACUGUCUCUGCCUUCCUUGUUUGGAUGUUGAUGUUUGCCGUUGCAAGUUUGAUUAAUAUUUAGUAUCAGAGCUAAAAUCUCCGGUGGAUGAAUCACUAAGGCCAGGGCCUGAAAGAAGGAGUACGAAAAUAAUGCUUAUGGAAUGAAGAUGAGAAGUGGGAAGCAGUCUGGUCGUGCUCACAACAAAGAAAGGGAAUCUGACGAAAGGAACAAUGAAAUACCGAAGAAGAACGCUCGCACUUACUUGGAAGUUGGAGAAUUCAGAGGAAAAUCCAUGAGUUGGUACAAGAGUAGUUCAGCUGCACAGAGUGACAAUGCGCGAGUAAACUUGAGGUUGGAUUAUGCGUAACAACUGCUUGUUGCAUUAUAGUUAAUGAACGAAAAUCACAUUAAUAAACAAGAGGCUUGAAGGCGUUGCUUGAGACCAAACAAUUCUCAAAUAAUGUGUUGUAAAAUUUAUGACUUGAUACUUAUGCUGCUUAAUAUUAAGUGGGUCUCAAUUAUUUGUUUACAGCCA
This is a long non-coding RNA of Neltuma alba, 633 nucleotides long. RefSeq lists it as uncharacterized. Lineage: Eukaryota; Viridiplantae; Streptophyta; Magnoliopsida; Fabales; Fabaceae. The record is from RefSeq and is a predicted model, not a curated record. The transcript is spliced from 4 exons.